This 234-nucleotide long non-coding RNA is filed under the name Capsicum annuum. RNAcentral describes it as "long non-coding RNA (CANN_LNC013960)". Lineage: Eukaryota; Viridiplantae; Streptophyta; Magnoliopsida; Solanales; Solanaceae. The record is from RNAcentral.
CCCAGAGUCUCUCUCUGAUCAACUAAACUUUCUCUAAGGCAUCGAAUACUAAGUUAGGACCUAUGACUGAGGCCUCACUAACUUUAAACCAACCAAUCAGAGAUCUAUAUCUCCUACCAUAGAGAGCUUCAAAUGAAUCCAUCUGAAUACUAGAAUGAUAGCUAUUGUUGUAUCCAAACUCAAUCAAAGACAAGUGGUCGUCCUUACUUCCCUUGAAUUCAAUUGCACACGCCC